GUGUUCCACGCUGUCGGUUCGCCGCCCGUCGGUGUUAACUGGCAUGCCUGUGGAACGUCCUGCCGGUGGCGGUCCGGGCUCUCGGCUAGCGUAGGGUUCGCCCGAAGCUGGUCUUGCAGUUCCGGCCGCCGGUCAUAUCCCGCCACGGUGCUCUUCACCGAGUGUCGAGGUGGGCCGGCACGUUUACUUUGAACAAAUUAGAGUGCUUAAAGCAGGCUGGUGUCCGCCUGAAUACUGUGUGCAUGGAAUAAUGGAAUAGGAUCUCGGUUCUAUUUUGUUGGUUUUCGGAACCCGAGGUAAUGAUUAAUAGGGACAGGCGGGGGCAUUCGUAUUGCGACGUUAGAGGUGAAAUUCUUGGAUCGUCGCAAGACGAACCUAAGCGAAAGCAUUUGCCAAGUAUGUCCUCGUUAAUCAAGAACGAAAGUUAGAGGUUCGAAGGCGAUCAGAUACCGCCCUAGUUCUAACCAUAAACGAUGCCAGCCAGCGAUCCGCCGACGUUCCUCCGAUGACUCGGCGGGCAGCUUCCGGGAAACCAAAGCUUUUGGGUUCCGGGGGAAGUAUGGUUGCAAAGCUGAAACUUAAAGGAAUUGACGGAAGGGCACCACCAGGAGUGGAGCCUGCGGCUUAAUUUGACUCAACACGGGAAACCUCACCAGGCCCGGACACCGGAAGGAUUGACAGAUUGAGAGCUCUUUCUUGAUUCGGUGGGUGGUGGUGCAUGGCCGUUCUUAGUUGGUGGAGCGAUUUGUCUGGUUAAUUCCGAUAACGAACGAGACUCUAGCCUGCUAACUAGGCGAUUUCCGGUACCCACAAUAGUGUUACCGGCGAUUCAAUUUCUUCUUAGAGGGACAGGCGGCUCCUAGCCGCACGAGACUGAGCAAUAACAGGUCUGUGAUGCCCUUAGAUGUCCUGGGCCGCACGCGCGCUACACUGAAGGAUUCAGCGUGUCUUCCCUGGCCGACAGGCCCGGGUAACCCGUUGAACCUCCUUCGUGCUAGGGAUUGGGGCUUGCAAUUCUUCCCCAUGAACGAGGAAUUCCCAGUAAGCGCGAGUCAUAAGCUCGCGUUGAUUACGUCCCUGCCCUUUGUACACACCGCCCGUCGCUACUACCGAUUGAAUGAUUUAGUGAGGUCUUCGGACUGGUGCGCGGCGAUCGUCCUAGUACGGCCGCCGAUGUUGCCGGAAAGAUGACCAAACUUGAUCAUUUAGAGGAAGUAAAAGU
RNAcentral lists this ribosomal RNA (1222 nucleotides) under Philaenarcys bilineata. Its description in RNAcentral is "SSU rRNA". It matches the Rfam family "Eukaryotic small subunit ribosomal RNA", at positions 669 to 1789 of the family's 1831-position model. The record is from RNAcentral. Lineage: Eukaryota; Metazoa; Arthropoda; Insecta; Hemiptera; Cercopidae.